UACGGAGGGUGCAAGCGUUGUUCGGAAUUACUGGGCGUAAAGCGCGCGUAGGCGGCUAUGUAAGUCAGAUGUGAAAGCCCGCGGCUCAACCGUGGAAGUGCAUUUGAAACUGUAUAGCUUGAGUACUGGAGGGGGUAGUGGAAUUCCCGGUGUAGAGGUGAAAUUCGUAGAUAUCGGGAGGAAUACCGGUGGCGAAGGCGACUACCUGGCCAGAUACUGACGCUGAGGUGCGAAAGCGUGGGGAGCAAACAGG
Molecule: ribosomal RNA, 253 nt
Filed under: uncultured bacterium
Lineage: Bacteria
Description: partial 16S ribosomal RNA
Rfam family: Bacterial small subunit ribosomal RNA
Source: RNAcentral